This 240-nucleotide unclassified non-coding RNA is filed under the name soil metagenome. RNAcentral describes it as "partial contains 5.8S ribosomal RNA, internal transcribed spacer 2, and large subunit ribosomal RNA". The record is from RNAcentral.
AACCUUAUGGACCUGCGGGCGUAUACCUGCGGAAGGAUCAUUACACAAUAACAUAUGAAGGCUGUACGCGGCUGCGCCCUCGGGCCAGUUGGCUGAGGCUGGAGUAUUUAUUACCCUUGUCUUUUGCGCACUUGUUGUUUCCUGGGCGGGUUCGCCCGCCACCAGGACCACAUGAUAAACCUUUUUUUAUGCAGUUGCAAUCAGCGUCAGUACAACAAAUGUAAAUCAUUUACAACUUUU